RNAcentral lists this ribosomal RNA (468 nucleotides) under uncultured bacterium. Its description in RNAcentral is "partial 16S ribosomal RNA". It matches the Rfam family "Bacterial small subunit ribosomal RNA", at positions 28 to 507 of the family's 1533-position model. The record is from RNAcentral.
GACGAACGCUGGCGGCGUGCUUAACACAUGCAAGUCGAACGGAAAGGCCCUGCUUUUGUGGGGUUCUCGAGUGGCGAACGGGUGAGUAACACGUGAGUAACCUGCCCUUGACUUUGUGAUAACUUCAGGAAACUGGGGCUAAUACCGGAUAGGAGCUCCUGCUGCAUGGUGGUGGUUGGAAAGUUUCGGCGGUUGGGGAUGGACUCGCGGCUUAUCAGCUUGUUGGUGGGGUAGUGGCUUACCAAGGCUUUGACGGAUAGCCGGCCUGAGAGGGUGACCGGCGACAUUGGGACUGCGAUACGGAGCAGAAUGCUACGGGAGGCAGCAGGGGGGAGUAUUACACAGUGGGCGGAAGCCUGAUACGACAACGCCGCGUGCGGGAUGACGGCCUUCGGGUUGUAAACCGCUGUCGCCUGUGACGAAGCGUGAGUGACGGUAAUGGGUAAAGAAGCACCGGCUAACUACGUG